CUGAAUCAGUGUGUGUGUUAGUGGAAGCGUCUGGAAAGGCGUGCGAUACAGGGUGACAGCCCCGUACACAAAAAUGCACAUAUUGUGAGCUCGAUGAGUAGGGCGGGACACGUGGUAUCCUGUCUGAAUAUGGGGGGACCAUCCUCCAAGGCUAAAUACUCCUGACUGACCGAUAGUGAACCAGUACCGUGAGGGAAAGGCGAAAAGAACCCCGGCGAGGGGAGUGAAAAAGAACCUGAAACCGUGUACGUACAAGCAGUGGGAGCCUCUUAAUGGGGUGACUGCGUACCUUUUGUAUAAUGGGUCAGCGACUUAUAUUCUGUAGCAAGGUUAACCGAAUAGGGGAGCCGAAGGGAAACCGAGUCUUAACUGGGCGUUAAGUUGCAGGGUAUAGACCCGAAACCCGGUGAUCUAGCCAUGGGCAGGUUGAAGGUUGGGUAACACUAACUGGAGGACCGAACCGACUAAUGUUGAAAAAUUAGCGGAUGACUUGUGGCUGGGGGUGAAAGGCCAAUCAAACCGGGAGAUAGCUGGUUCUCCCCGAAAGCUAUUUAGGUAGCGCCUCGUGAAUUCAUCUCCGGGGGUAGAGCACUGUUUCGGCAAGGGGGUCAUCCCGACUUACCAACCCGAUGCAAACUGCGAAUACCGGAGAAUGUUAUCACGGGAGACACACGGCGGGUGCUAACGUCCGUCGUGAAGAGGGAAACAACCCAGACCGCCAGCUAAGGUCCCAAAGUCAUGGUUAAGUGGGAAACGAUGUGGGAAGGCCCAGACAGCCAGGAUGUUGGCUUAGAAGCAGCCAUCAUUUAAAGAAAGCGUAAUAGCUCACUGGUCGAGUCGGCCUGCGCGGAAGAUGUAACGGGGCUAAACCAUG
Molecule: ribosomal RNA, 874 nt
Filed under: Escherichia coli
Lineage: Bacteria; Pseudomonadati; Pseudomonadota; Gammaproteobacteria; Enterobacterales; Enterobacteriaceae
Description: partial 23S ribosomal RNA
Rfam family: Bacterial large subunit ribosomal RNA
Source: RNAcentral